RNAcentral lists this long non-coding RNA (881 nucleotides) under Ananas comosus (pineapple). Its description in RNAcentral is "long non-coding RNA (ACOM_LNC014735)". Lineage: Eukaryota; Viridiplantae; Streptophyta; Magnoliopsida; Poales; Bromeliaceae. The record is from RNAcentral.
UGUAGGGAUGUCAAUGGAUGUAGAUAUCUAAAAUUUUAUCCGAAUCUGAACUCAAACGAAACAGAUUUACUCAAUACUAAAUGAAUAUGAUUUCAGAUACGAAUAUAAAAAUUAAAAAUUCAACAAAUUUGGAUAUAGGUAUGAAUUUUGUCGCAAAUCUGAAUAGAUUUUACAUUGUAUAAUAUAUAUAAAUAUUUGAUCUAUAUGUUUGUAUUUGUAUUUUAGAAAUUUAAAUUUUAUUAUAAUAUGUUGUGAAAUAGAGUAAAGAGAAAUUAUGAAUAGGUCUUGUAUGCUAUUAGGAGCACGGAGGUCUUCGUGCUCCUAAGCCGUUUUCGAUUAUAGAGCUUUCGAAUCAAUAAUCGACUAGUUAAACUUAAUCUAACGUAUUUGUAGUAUCUAGAAAAUAAAUUUUGUGAUUUUUUGAUAUCUUUUAUCUAACAAUCGAAAGAGUUUAAAAUCAAUAAUUUCUAAUGGUUAAUGUAUAUUGUUGGCAAGUUUAAUGGUAUAGAAGUAUGAAAAUUAGAUGAAAUUUUGAUAAAAAUUCUUUGUACUAUUUAUUGCAAGAUCAAUAUCUCUGAUCGAAAAUUUUAGUACUAUAUCACCACUUUUUCUGAGAUUUUUAUUUUCAGCCGUUGAUUUUAAACCCUUUCAAUAACUAAGUAAAUAAUAUCGAAAAAUCGCAAAAUUUAUUUUCUAGUUUUUACAAAUAUGAUAGAUCAAGUCUAACGGAGCCGAUCGUCGAUUCAGAAGCUCCACCAUCAAAAACGGCUUAGAAGCACGAAGACCUUCGUGCUCCUAAUAGCACACAAAACCUACUCGAGAAAUUAUUACUUCAUAUUCGAUAUUUCAGAUUUGGGCUCGACUUUCGUCUUUUCGAUCAA